GCCUGCUUGAUGGUUCUGAUGCUGUCGUAUGCUCGUAAGGCGUUAACGCUCGGUUGAAAGUUAUCUUCUUCUGGGUUUUCGUCUCGGAAAGUUCUUCGAAACUGGGGAUAAAACGUUUUGUAAAGAUUAGUACCCUCGUCAUAGUAGGUCUUGAUUCCUAAAAUGCCUUGCAUGGAAGAAAUCACCGAACUGUUAAAAGAAUCGAAGUAAUUCGAGAUGGUAUUCGUAGUGAUCCAUGCUGAGUCUCUUCCAAUAAGUCCAAUCUCCUUUGCUUUUUCAAACAAAUGGAUUGUCAUCGGUAAUGACGAUUGAAGAACAAUGUAAACCCGAGAUUGAACGUUAAAUAAUUUUAUCAACUCAUCUUGCACAACUUCGUUUGGAUUAGAAACAGAAGAAAACGGAGGAAGAACUAAUCGAUAUUCAAUCUCGGAACCAACAUCGCUUAGAGCCUCCGAUAGAAGAGCUAACUUCCCAGAAUCACCACCAAAGGCAUCAUCUUCAUAAAUUACAACAACCCUUUUCCAGUUAAAUGAACUAAUAGUAGCUGCAAUGCAUUUCAUUUGUUCGGAGUCACCAUUAGCCAUUGUUACCAAGAAAGGCCAACGAGAGGGUGUUAUUAGAGCUGGUGCUGCAAAUGAAAGAACCGGAACUCGAGCACGGCUUCCUAUAUCAGAAACCAAAGCUGCUUCUUCCCAUGUUUCCAACCCAAUGAUUGCUAUAACUUCUUGUUCUUCAAUCAAUUUCUUAGCUGUAAUCAGAUUAACCAUUAGUAAAUAUUAAAUAAACCUCGUUGACAUACUAAGGGAUCGCUAAAAAUAAUGAAUCACUAACCAGCAGUAGCUGCAAGUAAGGGAUUUCUUCUAGAAUUCUGAAUAUAAAGGGAGAGCUUAUGGUUGUUUGAAACAUCGUUAUUAAAACUCUGAACUGCAAAUUCAAAAGCUGCUUUCUCUUCUUUUCCAAUUCGAGAAUCGACGUCUAUGAUGGCACCGAUGUUAUAAUUAGUCACCUUGUUACCGGUCUUUUCACCAUAUGGAGAGACGAGAAAGAGAGAUAUGAACACGAAAGUGAUACGACAAGGUCGUUGCAUGUUGUUAGGGAACUCAUAAAAUAAUUGAAUAUAUGAUACAUGGAGGAACUCAAAGCAUUUAAAAGCUUGAGGAACAUCCUAGCUCUCAGGCUUCACCGGAUCUAUCAUGGAUAACCCUGUUGCUACAUAUGGCUGAGUAAAUUCCACUAAAGUUGGUCUAUUAGCUAGGAUAGUUAUGUCACCUACAGCUGCAUCAUAAGUCUUCCGUUGAUUUUUUGUACACACAUAAAAAAAAUAAUAAAAUAAAAAAAUAUCUCAUUAGAGACAAAAAAAGCAUUUAAUUCAUUUACGUGAGUGUCAUAGUUUCUUUUUCACAUCAUUGUCUAAAUAUGAACUCAAAGUUUGACAACUUACCUACGAAAUUUCCUGGAAAUAUAAUGGAAUUAUAAGAGAUUUCAGGAAAAACAAAUCAAGGUAAUUAAAGUAAGAAUAAGAAGUUUCUGGGCUAUUGCCUUGUUGUUUUACUUUGUUGAAUUGCUUUCACUGUAACUUGUAAGAAACUCCUUUUUAUUUGUUUAACAAUGAUAAAUAGAUGACUCAUUAUGGUUAAAUUAUAUGAAUAUUUUCUAUCAUAAUCACAAAAAUUGCGAUUAUUAACAAAAAAAUAUUGAAAAAAAAUGGAGUAAGAGAAAAAGGGUAUUUUACCUUGUUGUAGACUUUGUGAACAAGUUCAUCAUAUGUGCCAUUGUGGGGAUCAAAUUGAUAAAUUAAAUCAAAAUCGAGAACAGUUAGAACUUCAUAGAAAAUGUUCAAUGCAGAAACCAUCAUAUAUCUUUUGGCCUGGAUGUUUACCAUAGUCAACCUUUACAAAUUUCUCAAAUGCGGUUCUUGCUGGAACUCCAAUUAUCAUUGGUUUCUUAUUUGUUGGGAUUGCCCAUCCUUUAGGAACUAGCUUUGAAUCAUCUGGCCAAAUGACUGUACCAGUAAAAUCUGCAGAUUUAUUACCAACAUAACCAAUGUUCUUUGAGAAACCAAUCCCUGGCAACCAGAAAUCCAACUCAUUAUAACUUUUUCCAAUCACGUUUACAAUCCUUAGUAUAGGAUCGUGUGAUAAUUUGCGUUGUUGAAAGUGAAUUUCGCCGCUUAAACCUGUGAAAUUGCUUGAAAGUAUGUUUUUCAACAACGAAUCUGGGCUGUUUUCAUCACUAUCCAUGGCCUGCUUGAUGAUUCUGAUGCUGUCGUAUGCUCGUAAGGCGUUAAUGCUCGGUUGAAAAUUAUCUUCUUCCGGGUUUUCGUUUCGGGAAGUUCUUCGAAACUGGGGAUAAAACGUUUUGUAAAGAUUAGUACCCUCGUCAUGGUAGGUCUUGAUUCCUAAAAUGCCUUGCAUGGAAGAAAUCACCGAACUGUUAAAAGAAUCGAAGUAAUUCGAGAUGGUAUCCGUAAUAAUCCAAGCUGAGUCUCUUCCAGUAAGUCCAAUCUCCUUAGGUUUUUCAAACAAAUGGAUUGUGUCAUCGGUAAUGACAAUUGAAGAACAAUGUAAACCCGAGAUUGAACGUUGAAUAAUUUAUCAACUCAUCUUGCACAACUUCAUUUGGAUUAGAAACGGAAGAAAGUGGAGGAAGAACCAAUCGAUAUUCAAUCUCGGAACCAGCAUCUUGUAGAGCCUCCGAUAGAAGAGCUAACUUCCCAGAAUAACCACCAAAAGCAUCAUCUUCAUAAAUUACAACAACCCUUUUCCAGUUAAAUGAACUUGAUGAAGUUGGUUCAGCAUGCAGCAAACUCGACAGCAUGCAGGCCAUGAAGACCAAGACAUGCAGGAGCUGCUGAUGCAAGCUUAUUUUAUUUAUUUUGUAAUUUCUAGUCAAUGAAAUGUAAUCUUAGUUCAUUUCUAACUAAGUUAGGUUGUUGACUGAUGUAAUUAGCUUAUGUAUGAGCUGUAAACACAACUUUGUAUAGGUUUACAAGCUAAAAUUUCAAGUUUCCAUGUAAUUAGUGGGAGUAGGUGAUGUUUAGGUAAUUAUUUGCUGUUUUUGACAAGCUUAGUGCUUGGUUUAUGUAUUGGCAUUAUGCCAUUAUUCAAUUUUAUAAAUGAAGUUCAGUUUGUUCAUCAA
RNAcentral lists this long non-coding RNA (3138 nucleotides) under Gossypium barbadense (sea-island cotton). RNAcentral's name for it is "long non-coding RNA (GBAR_LNC008711)". Lineage: Eukaryota; Viridiplantae; Streptophyta; Magnoliopsida; Malvales; Malvaceae. The record is from RNAcentral.